This 1252-nucleotide long non-coding RNA is filed under the name Oryctolagus cuniculus (rabbit). Its description in RNAcentral is "lncRNA (ENSOCUG00000037705.1)". The record is from RNAcentral. Lineage: Eukaryota; Metazoa; Chordata; Mammalia; Lagomorpha; Leporidae.
AUGCCAGAGCGUCCAGGGCCCCGGCUCCCUCCCCGCGCGGGGACGCUCUGCUGGGGCAGCGGGGUGGUCCCUUCUUUAGGAAAGGUUCCAAAAUGUAGCCCUCUAGCCUGUCUUUUCUUGAUGAGUAUUAGAAGACCUACUUGCUCUGAGGUCACUCCCCUCCAGUUUUCACCUGCGUUCUUCUGGGCAGGCCAGUUGCUAGGAGCGCCUACAGGAAGAUUAGGAAGAGGUGAAAAGGUAAGGCUGAGGUAGUGUUUACUCUCCCACGGCAGCCUGUGUGACUGAGAGAGGGAAUGGGAGGCGGCAGAUAAGGUUAAUCAGCAGGACACAUGCUCAUUGCUUCCCAGGACACUGCUUACAAUCUCAUUCAACCCUAAGAAUGCUUUUUGAUAAAGGGAAAAAUCAGGUGGUGGUUUUCGCUGUUGAAUUCCGGCAGAAAAUCAGCCCUUUCCAGAAGAUGGCUUGAUGCUAUCUGCAAACACAAUUAGUCUAGGGUCCCUGCCACACGGUAGUAAAGAUGCAUUCAGAAACAGCAGGAGAGAGAUUAAAUGAUUACAUUAGUAGAGCAAAUAUAUGUAUGAUAAAGUUUUAUGAGCUCUUCUUCCAAGAAGGGCCUCCACCAAAGCAAGAUUUUUUUAUGAUCUUUGUUCCAAGGCUCAGGAAAUGUAGCUCCCUUGUUCAACUUGGCAGUUUGUGACCAGAUUUAUCUAAUAUGACUCAUUUCUUUUUUAAUUCUUAUUUUCAUGAAAAUUCAGACCAUGUAUCUUAUUAGUAUUCCUAACAAUAUUUAGUGCUGAAACUUUUACUAUCUCACUUAAUACCAUAUAUUCGUCUCUUCCAAGCAAUAGCUCAAAAUUUCUCUCAACUUUAUUGUACCAAAGGAAAUGUUAAAAUAUUAGUAGUGUAUGAUCUCUUUCUAAGAUUACGAGGUUUCCUGUUUUGUGGGAUUUUAAGUUGCUAACUGGCAAAAGCUGAUGGGUGGGCUCAGUGAUGUGCCGGCAUUACUCUUACCUUUCUCCCAGCAUGAACCCUGAGUACAAUGAAAACUCCUGCUCAUGCGUCCUACCCAUCCUUGUAGCUAGGGCUUUACCAUUCCAAACAGUGAAUGGUUGUUGCAAAUGACUUCAGGCUGUUCUUAUUAUGUAGCUAAAGUAAUGUAAUACAAGGUAGCCUUUUACAUUUUGGUAAAAGAAAUCAUGUACCCACAUCCAGAAGGAAAUUAGGGGAGUCACCUGUCAUUACUAAUCGCUAC